This 403-nucleotide long non-coding RNA is filed under the name Marmota monax (woodchuck). Lineage: Eukaryota; Metazoa; Chordata; Mammalia; Rodentia; Sciuridae. The record is from RNAcentral.
AUAAGAGAGACAAAAUGUGCAUACUCACGUGCGUAAACAGGUCAGUUCACUGGCACAAUAAAGCUCUCACUUUACACCUCGCCUUCCUCCAGAAAAAUAAAGCCAUCUUUCUUGAGCCCCUCUCACCUCUGUUCUGCACACCCCAUGUGUCUCCUCCCUCAUCAGCUCUGUACAAUGGAAGUGAGGCUCAGGGAGGUUAAGGAACCCACCUCAGCACCCAGCCGGGAAGAGGCAGGUCCUGGUGCCCAGCUGUCUCAACUCCACAGCUCCCUCUAUUCUGCCCAGCAGUCCUGAGCCAACCUGGAUCCUUCAGCCAGACCAGGAGAAACAAGAACGGAGGCUGCCUGUCCUGCCAUCUUGGGCCUUGUUUCCUGGUCCAGGGAACUGUUCAGGUAGACAUCCC